GCCCGGAUAGCUCAGUCGGUAGAGCGUGAGGCUUUUAACCGACAAUUUCGGUCCGAAACCUUAAGGCCGUGGGUUCGAGCCCCACUCCGGGCG
This is a non-coding RNA of Rhizophagus irregularis, 93 nucleotides long. The record is from Rfam. Lineage: Eukaryota; Fungi; Glomeromycota; Glomeromycetes; Glomerales; Glomeraceae.